Molecule: long non-coding RNA, 2370 nt
Organism: Acipenser ruthenus (sterlet)
Lineage: Eukaryota; Metazoa; Chordata; Actinopteri; Acipenseriformes; Acipenseridae
Exons: 3
Source: RefSeq, a predicted model, not a curated record
UUCAAGCCAUGGGCAGCAAAUACCAGCAGCUGGGUGCCUCAAUGCACUGCAGGUCAGUAAUAUGUAAGGAGAUCUCACCUUGGUACAUGCAGCAGGAGAGGGUCUAUCACACUGUAAAGAGCAGAACAAGCCAAGACUACUGUAAAUAGAGGCUAGAUAGGCAGUUAGUUGAAAACACAUGAUAUUUACCUAAAGUAAUUGGGUUCCAGUGCUGCCCUAGUACUUCACGCCACAUUGUACAGUCAUUAAUACUUGGGAAACUGCAGCCUGCUAGACCACACACAUCUUUUAAAGGGGGGAGAGGAGAAGACUUAGACCUGGAAGUUUUGGUGCUGUAACAUUAUUAGACAACGCAGAAGGGACAACCUGCUCAAGACAAGAGAACGCACCUUAUAAAACCAAGAACUGAUAAACCUAGCAAUACACCAACCUUGCAAGACCGCACAGGAUAAGCAAGCUUAAAGUGAUGUAUUAGAAACCUCCCAAUUGGUUCAAUAGUCAUUAUUCCACCAGCAAUAGACUCUCUUUUUACCAGGUGAUCUAUUUCAAGCUCUAUGAACCAGUAGCAGAAAUCAGCUUGGCUACUGUAGUGUAAAUGAUUAAAAUAUGUAAACUGUUUUCUUUCGAUUAAUGAUUUUCUGUAGGUUUCAAAUGGAUUAAGAUACCAGUACGUAGAAGUGGUAUAUAUAUAACUAACAGUAAAGAUAUUUUUUUAAAAAAGGUAAGAAAUGUGAAUCAUUGGGAAUUCUGCUGGAAAAAAACUUAAUAGUUCAAAAUUGCAAACUUACCUGUAUAGCAGUUCAUAGCAACAAAAAAAAACCAUUCCUUUGGCAAACAUAACGUUCCAGUUCUAUGUCUUUGCUUCUAUUCAUUGUAUGUAGACAUAUCCAUUGUAUGAUAUUUUGCGAUCUGAUUUAGACAUCCAAAAUGUCUUAAUCAGUCAAACCAUACAGCUUACAUGCAGCAGAUGUUUGCUAAAUAAACAAAUAAUAAUAAUAAUAAUAAUAAUAAUAAUAAUAAUAAUAAUAAUAAUAUGGAUGUGGAUUCUGAUAAUGCUGGGGAAAGGAACACGCUCUCUUGCUCAAAACAACUGUUGCCUACUAAGUUAUCAACAAUGUAAAGAGAUGGAUCUUUGGUAAGUUUUACUAAAAGGGUUUCUGUCUUUCCCCAGCCUACAGCUGCUGCUCAGACAUAUAAGAACAUAAGAACAUAAGAAAGUUUACAAACGAGAGGAGGCCAUUCAGCCCAUCUUGCUCGUUUGGUUGUUAGUAGCUUAUUGAUCCCAGAAUCUCAUCAAGCAGCUUCUUGAAGGAUCCCAGGGUGUCAGCUUCAACAACAUUACUGGGGAGUUGGUUCCAGACCCUCACAAUUCUCUGUGUAAAAAAGUGCCUCCUAUUUUCUGUUCUGAAUGCCCCUUUAUCUAAUCUCCAUUUAUGACCCCUGGUCCUUUUUUCUUUUUUCAAGUCAAAGAAGUCCCCCGGGUUGACAUUGUCUAUACCUUUUAGGAUUUUGAAUGUUUGAAUCAGAUCGCCGCGUAGUCUUCUUUGUUCAAGACUGAAUAGAUUCAAUUCUUUUAGCCUGUCUGCAUACGACAUGCCUUUUAAACCCGGGAUAAUUCUGGUUGCUCUUUGCACUCUUUCUAGAGCAGCAAUAUCCUUUUUGUAACGAGGUGACCAGAACUGAACACAAUAUUCUAGGUGAGGUCUUACUAAUGCAUUGUAAAGUUUUAACAUUGCUUCCCUUGAUUUAAAUUCAACACUUCUCACAAUAUGUGACGGGAGGGGAGGUACAGGUACCAACAAGUGAUGGUUUGAACAUGCAAUGAGAAUCUAGAGGAAUCACAGCAAUGUGUAUAUCUUAAAUAUAUCGUAUGGCUUAUUUCCUUGAAAACUGUAAUUCUAGCAUUUUCAUUAUCGGUUAUAUUGCUUUUCUCUUAAAUGUGUAAAGAAAUGUUAUUGUUUUUAUCCCUGGACUUCUAAACAGAAUACAUGCUUGUGUCUGAAUAAAAUAUUACAAGGGAAAACAUUUUAUAAUUUAUUUUUUUGGUGGGAGGGGGGGGUCAUCAAUCUAUCAUAAAAGAUGGAUAUUUAAAUUUAUUUUUUUAAGGACAGACUGCUUUUGACAACCAUUUGUGUUAUGGUGCAAUCCCUUUGCUGUGUAAUGGACCCAGAUAUAUAUAUUGUACAAUACCCUGUGGGCCUUCUACAGUAGUGUGGCAAAGAAAUACAAACAAACAGCUUUCAACUGUGCUCUUUUAUUCCUUUUACCUUCAACAAAACACUGUCAUUACAGGUCAAUUAAACAGAACUGUGCUUUACGACAUACGUUUUACAAUAAUAGAAUAUAGAAUAAUAAAAGGCAUCCCAGUUU